UAGGGAAUCUUCCGCAAUGGGCGAAAGCCUGACGGAGCAACGCCGCGUGAGUGAUGAAGGUCUUCGGAUCGUAAAACUCUGUUAUUAGGGAAGAACAAAUGUGUAAGUAACUAUGCACGUCUUGACGGUACCUAAUCAGAAAGCCACGGCUAACUACGUGCCAGCAGCCGCGGUAAUACGUAGGUGGCAAGCGUUAUCCGGAAUUAUUGGGCGUAAAGCGCGCUUAGGCGGUUUUUUAAGUCUGGUGUGAAAGCCCACGGCUCAACCGUGGAGGGUUAUUGGAAACUGGGAAACGUGAGUGCAGAAGAGGAAAGUGGGAAUCCAUGUGUAGCGGUGAAAUGCGCAGAGAUAUGGAGGAACACCAGUGGCGAAGGCGACUUUCUGGUCUGUAACUGACGCUGAUGUGCGAAAGCGUGGGGAUCAAACAGG
This 429-nucleotide ribosomal RNA is filed under the name Actinomycetes bacterium. Its description in RNAcentral is "Actinobacteria bacterium partial 16S ribosomal RNA". It matches the Rfam family "Bacterial small subunit ribosomal RNA", at positions 355 to 776 of the family's 1533-position model. Lineage: Bacteria; Bacillati; Actinomycetota; Actinomycetes. The record is from RNAcentral.